CCUUGACAGGUAUAGUCUGCCGAGGCAGCGACGCCUGUGUCCGUUCUAAGCCUGUGGUAUGUAUCUGUGUCACUGUGUUUCUGACCUGGGUUCAGGAGAUCUUGGAAAGCCAGCUAAGUCCCCAAGGGCAGGGGUAGCUCCACCCACCCUCCUGAAAUCUCAAUAAAGCCCACUGGAUGGCAGCAGCUGGCCGACAUCCUCCCUGUCCUGCACUCAGCUGCAUAGAGGGGGGCACAGUGUUGUGCAAUGGUGGCAAAGCCCCUGACCUGAGGAAUCCUCUAGACCAAAAAAGAUAACCUUUUUUGUAUCCUGGACUUCUCUGGCUAUCUGGUGACGCGCGUGGAUCUCUUCUCAGAACAAUGUUUUUAAAUGCAUAGAAUACACAGGAUUGCAAUAAAAACCAAUUCUGCUGAAUAGUUUUCAAAAUAUUCAUAGUUCCAGGUUCACAGACUUCCUGAGAUCUCUCUGUGGAUCUCAGAUUAAGAUCAUCUGCUUGAGGGCUCCUCCUGGGAUUUCUUCCAUAAUUCUCUAUUGGUCCAUCUAAUGGAGUCGGGGCUCACCAGCUUCAAAAACUGGCCCUGGGGUCACCCACCCACCCAAGGGCCACAUGCACGACAGCACACACACACACACACACACACACACACGCAUACACAAGUCACAGACCCAGGUACAGGCAGAGGGGAGCCCUGGGUGGUUUUUGAGGGGGUGUCUCUGCCCUUCCCCACUCCCAUCCCCCAACAACAUGCAGGCUGAGACGUCCCCAGAGGCCAACGGAUGAUUUUCUUCUUGGAAGGCUCUGCCUGGCAGUUUACUGUUAUGGCCACCAGCAAUCCUUGCCCUUCCGUGCUGGCUCUGUGAAAGCAUUCAGGUCUUGUUCCCUCCCUUCUUGAUAUUACCUCUUGUCUAAACAGGGAAAAUACUUGAACUCAGGUUCAUGGAAUCAAAAUUUAAUGCCCUUUCUGCAGUACUAUAGCGAGAGGUUUGGAAACCACAUCAUGAGAUGUUGAAAGAAUUGGAAAUAUAGCUGAGAGAAGACAGGGAAAACAUAAGGGCCACCUUCAAAUAUCUGGAGUGCCAUCUGGUAGAAGAGGGAUUUUACACACACACACACACACACACACACACACACACACACACACNNNNNNNNNNNNNNNNNNNNNNNNNNNNNNNNAAGUAAAUAUGCAUAUGUGU
Molecule: long non-coding RNA, 1194 nt
Filed under: Vombatus ursinus (common wombat)
Lineage: Eukaryota; Metazoa; Chordata; Mammalia; Diprotodontia; Vombatidae
Description: lncRNA (ENSVURG00010023017.1)
Source: RNAcentral